RNAcentral lists this long non-coding RNA (657 nucleotides) under Olea europaea subsp. europaea. Lineage: Eukaryota; Viridiplantae; Streptophyta; Magnoliopsida; Lamiales; Oleaceae. The record is from RNAcentral.
GCUAAAUUUUCUAUUAUUAUGCUUUAUUCUAUUAUCUCUUAUACAAUGUUAUAACAUUUUGAAUUUUUACAUGAUGGAUUAUCAUCUUGACGUGGAGUUGAGAUAGAUGUCAGGCAAAGUUACAUGGAAUAGUAGUUUUGAUAGUUUCACUACUGUGUUAGAGCUGCUCGAUGAUCAGCAUGCUGAUAUGCUGCGCCAGUCCUUCCUGUGGCCCUUGUACCCGUUGAGAGAUCUGCAGUACUCGGGUCAGAUUAUUGAUGCACUUCAAUGUCGAUUGUUGAGUCCAAUCAACGGUGAUGCCCUCCACUUCGCAGUCGGGGGCAAAGUCGCCAAUUUUUCGAUGUUCGAGUUUGCUCUGAUCACGGGAUUAAAGAUUACGGACGAUGAAGAGCUGGUGAUGAGACCAAGAAAAGAAAUAGGCUACAGGACGCUUACUUCGAGGGACAGGGUACUGUGCUUCUUACACAGUUGUUCGACGCAAUUAGGAGAUGUGAUCAGAUGUUAGACAGAUUGAAGUUAGGUCUGGUCUAUAUCCUUGAGAGGGUGAUGCAGUGUCACCACAAAAAGACUGCGAUCGACCUCUUCCAUCUGGAGAUCGUUGACGACAUCGAUCAUUUCAACGACUAUUCGUGGGGCCAGAGAUGUUUUGAUGACACC